Molecule: long non-coding RNA, 786 nt
Organism: Rhododendron vialii
Lineage: Eukaryota; Viridiplantae; Streptophyta; Magnoliopsida; Ericales; Ericaceae
Exons: 2
Source: RefSeq, a predicted model, not a curated record
AAUCUGAUGGCUCAGAUGUGGAUUCAGAUGAAACUGGCCGGCCUCGCUUUUCAUCAUUAAAGAAAGUCACUAGUUUCCUGGACAAGGAAUUUGCUGCCAGCAGGUUUACCAGAAAGGAUCAGGAUGACAUUGAAAAGGAAAUGUUCAAAAUAUAGAGCUUCAAUGAAAUGUGCUGGCUGCCAAGGAAACGGGGAAUGGUCACUAUUAGGCAACUGGGACCCUUUAUGAUCCAGGAGAUGCAACACCCUUGCAACAAAUGCAAGGGUACAGGCGAGAGCAUUGAUGAGAAAGACCGAUGCCCUAAAUGCAAAGGCGAGAAAGAUGUUCUUGAGAAGAAGGUGCUGGAAGUUAUUGUGGAGAAGGGCAUGCAGAAUGGUCAGAAAAUCACAUUACCUAGAGAAGCUGAUGAAGCGAGUAUGCCAUUACUCUGUCCCACAAGAUUCGAAGUGGAGAUGGCAUGUUUAUGUGCCGUGGUUUAUGAAAUCAUUACAGCAAAACAUAACCUAAAACAUGGAUGAUUUGUUAUAAUGUAGAGCAGAGUUACAUGUUGGCUUAAAUUCCCUUUGUACAGUGCGGAUUCAUGUAUGAUGCUCAUGUAGGUGUAGAUUGUUGUUUAUUUAUCAUCAACGGGUUCAUUUUCUCCAUCCAUCAGGAUGAUGUUUCGGGGAUUUACUCUAUACUUGUUAUGAGGCUAUGAGUUUGGGCUUCCUCGAGGUAUACGUAUAUCAUUCGAGUUUAGGAUUUGUCAACACUCACCAGCUUGUUUGAUUCAUUUUCCCUGUGGUC